This is a long non-coding RNA of Dermochelys coriacea (leatherback sea turtle), 2976 nucleotides long. RefSeq lists it as uncharacterized. NCBI's taxonomy places the organism in Eukaryota, Metazoa, Chordata, Testudines, Dermochelyidae. The transcript has 4 exons. The record is from RefSeq and is a predicted model, not a curated record.
CAGAAACGUACGGUCUUCCCCUGAGAGCUGUGGUUAGCAUCAUGGUAUAGAAAGCCCCAAUCAUGUAAAAUGGUUAUGUUCAGGUAUGACAGAUUGCUGGGAACCAACACCUAUUGAGUUCCAGGGGUGGGUGGGUGGGCGCAAGCCUGCCACAGCUAAAGGUCCCCCAGCCUAAGGGGAUGAGCUAUUGAACCCGGGGCUCAAGCGAUUUCAGGGGACAACUAAUAAAAAACAGGGACCGGUGUGAGAUCAAAGGGGGAACCAACAACAGAGACAGCACUCUGAUCACUUAAACAUCAAUUAAUUGCCCUGGGAUGGAUAUGAUUGUGCCUAAUUAGCAAAUUAGGCUGGGGAGAGCUAAAUAGCUAAUUUUCCCAUUAACACAGGGCACAGAAGAAGGCAUUAGAGGGAAAAGGGGUCGGGGGUGCUAGUGGAGCCAGAACCAAGAAGGAUCUCUGGGUGGACAGAUCUCUUCCCUCUCCUUGGCAGAGAAGAAACUGAUAUUGUGGGGAAUGUAGGCACAGAGUGACUAAGUAACUUGCCAAAGAUGACCUGGAAAGACUGUGGCAGAAUGUAUCUACUGGACCUGGGACAGCUAUUUAUAUUGGCUUUAAACACUCACUUGCUUCCACAUGCAAAGACCUACUAACAAGUUCCUGCCUGUCCUAUGAUGGCUGUAUUUGCUGCUUUUCUCUUUCUUCUUAAGAGGUAGCCAGGGCUUUAUUGUCAAGUAACUGCAUGAAGAUGCAUUCCUCCUGACUUUUACCCUAGGCAAGUUGUCUUCCAUAUUCUCGGCAAGAUUUAAGAUGUAGUCAUCAGAAAGAAAUGUGAAUUAGAAUGAAACUGCAGAAGGAAUAGACUGACUGCAAACCGAAGGGAGCAAUAGUGAACCUGUGCCUGAGAGAGAGUUUAAAAAGGGAAAUAAGUUGAAAUGGAAAUCAUAAUUCUAUAAUAACUUAGGGAAACAUCCAGUUUAAAAGAAUAAUCGAGAAAUCUAUUUCUAAUUUGUUAUUAAUUCAUUAUUAAAUGUACUACUUUGUAGUGCUCAGCACUGUACAGAUGACACAGACAUGAACUUCACCCCAAAGAGCUUAAAAUCUGAAGUUUUUAGCUGCAGUUUACCAAGUGGAGGUGGCAAAUAAUUGAGAAGGGAGGAAAGCUGAUAGUUAUAGCAAAAUGCUCAGACAGUUACUUAGUUUAGGCAUGUAUACGUACUGGCGGCUCAUUCUUCUUCUGGAUUUCAAAGAUGUAGCCGUAAUUUUUCAAGAGGGAUUUAAACGAGGAGAGGGUCAUAGCUUGCCAGACCAGAAUAGGGUGUCCUGAAAAAUGGGCAUGGUGAUGUUUAUGAAAGAAAUAGAUAAAGGGGACUUCAAGAUUGGUGUCACUGAUGGAUAAGAGACAAGGUUUGAUAAGGCUGAUGUUAUGCAGAGCCUUAAAAGUAAGUGCUAGAAUUUAAAUUUAAUGCAAUGAAUGAGGGAGCCAGUGGAGAGGUUCAAAGUGGAGAGUCACACAUUUAAUUUAACAAGAAGAAAGCGUAAUUCAGCAGAUGCAUUUUGGGAGACAAAUUAGGUGGCAGGAGGCCAAAGCUAGGGGAUUUGCAGUAAUCAAGCUGGGCCAUAACCAGGGCAUUCAGGGAUGAGGUUUUUGGAAAGAUAAAGACUCAAAUUGUCAAAAUGUCAUAGAGCAGGAAGCAGCAAGAUUUGUGUAUAGUUUGGGUAUCUGAGGAAAAUGAUGUGCAUCAAAAAUGACUCCUGUAGUAUGAGCCUGAAAGCCAGGGAAGUUGGUGACUUUACCUAUGUGACUAGAGAAAGGAAGAGGAGAGGCCACAAAUGGAAAAAUAAGGAGCUAACUUUUAGCUAUGGUAAACUAUGCACAAAAUCUAUGAGAAAUGUAGGCAAAAAGUCUGGUAACAAUCCUAAUACUUCAGGGAAUAAACCAAUCGAUAGUUGACUGGGGAAAAGUAUCCCUAAGGGUAGCGUGUUCCAGAUGUGUCAGUUAUGGGAAUUCUUGCACCUUCUUCUGAAGCAACUGUAUAGGGCCACCAACAGACACAGGACACUGGAGCAGAUUGACAGCUGCUAUGGUCUGGGGUAGGGCAAUUUUUAUGUUCCCAGUGCUCAGUGAAAAGCCACAUAUGAGAUCAAGAGAGGAGAUGUAUAGAGCAAAAUCCACCCUCUACACACACCUCAAAUGUAAUAAUUACAAGAAGCACGGAAUCAAGUGGAGUAUUGGGAUAACUUAACCAUUCAGCCUUGGCCUCCCACAUGAACGUUGACUCUCUUGAGUCCUUGUGUGGUCUUUGGUGGUUUGCUGCCUGACUAUGUACAUUUUUCAUGAUUAACUUGGAAAUCAUCACAUAUAAUACAGUACAUUAACAUCAAUCCGAGGAGAAGUACUAUUUCAAGGAGAAACCUUGGAAAUGGUUCAUAUUUCACAUACAGUACACUGGUGCCAAUAUGCUCUGUGCAUGGAAUGACAUCAAACAAACAAGGGAUUUCCUUGGAGUGUGUCCUGGAAACUUGAGGAGUCCUUGGUGGCAUCUGACAUCCCAUUUGCCUUGAAGUUAACGUUUUCAUGACAUCUUGCCUGUCUGUACCUUUAUAUAGUUAUAAGCCAUGGAUUUUAAGCUGCCUGAAAGAGAUUAAACUGUUCUUCAACCAGCUGCUGCAGACUGGUGCUUGGCAUAUGGAUAUUGGAUAGAGUUACCAACUUGGAAAUGUGCUGGAAAAUUAGCAAAUAUCUUUUGAGAAUAUGAGUACAGAGCAAGUGACUCAAUGACUAGGUCAUGCAUUAAGAAGGGAUAUGAGGAAGACUAUAAGCAAAAAUUCCCUGUGUUCUGGCAUCCAUGGAAAAUUCACAAGAGGAAGAUCUGCCUGUAUUUUGUUUUCAGUUUCAUCCAUAUGCACAUAUCAUCUGGCAUACUCACCAUUUGUAAUGCAAAUGAGAAACUACUUCUCCUCAGCUGGUAUAAACUGA